AUUGAACGCUGGCGGCAGGCCUAACACAUGCAAGUCGAGCGGAUGACGGGAGCUUGCUCCUUGAUUCAGCGGCGGACGGGUGAGUAAUGCCUAGGAAUCUGCCUGGUAGUGGGGGACAACGUUUCGAAAGGAAUGCUAAUACCGCAUCCGUCCUACGGGACACAGCAGGGGAACUUCGGGCCUUGCCCUAUCAGAUGCGCCCAGUUCGGAUUAGCUAGUUGCUGGGGUAAUGGCUCACAAAGGCGACGAUCCGUAACUGGUCUUAGAGGAUGCUCAGUCACACUGGAACUGAGACACGGUACAGACUCCGACGGGAGGCAGCAGUGGGGAAUAUUGGACAAUGGGCGAAAGCCUGAUCCAGCCAUGCCGCGUGUGUGAAGAAGGUCUUCGGAUUGUAAAGCACUUUAAGUUGGGAGGAAGGGCAGUAAGCUAAUAUCUUGCUGUUUUGACGUUACCGACAGAAUAAGCACCGGCUAACUCUGUGCCAGCCGCCGCAGUAA
Molecule: ribosomal RNA, 500 nt
Filed under: uncultured bacterium
Lineage: Bacteria
Description: partial 16S ribosomal RNA
Rfam family: Bacterial small subunit ribosomal RNA
Source: RNAcentral